AACGAACGCUGGCGGCAUGCCUAACACAUGCAAGUCGAACGAGACCUUCGGGUCUAGUGGCGCACGGGUGCGUAACGCGUGGGAACCUGCCCUUAGGUUCGGAAUAACUCCCCGAAAGGGGUGCUAAUACCGGAUAAUGUCUUCGGACCAAAGAUUUAUCGCCUUUGGAUGGGCCCGCGUUGGAUUAGCUAGUUGGUAGGGUAAAAGCCUACCAAGGCGACGAUCCAUAGCUGGUCUGAGAGGAUGAUCAGCCACACUGGGACUGAGACACGGCCCAGACUCCUACGGGAGGCAGCAGUGGGGAAUAUUGGACAAUGGGCGAAAGCCUGAUACAGCAAUGACGCGUGAGUGAUGAAGGCCUUAGGGUUGUAAAGCUCUUUUACCCGGGAUGAUAAUGACAGUACCGGGAGAAUAAGCGCCGGCUAACUCCGUG
RNAcentral lists this ribosomal RNA (433 nucleotides) under uncultured bacterium. Its description in RNAcentral is "partial 16S ribosomal RNA". It matches the Rfam family "Bacterial small subunit ribosomal RNA", at positions 29 to 507 of the family's 1533-position model. The record is from RNAcentral.